RNAcentral lists this long non-coding RNA (244 nucleotides) under Nicotiana benthamiana. Its description in RNAcentral is "long non-coding RNA (NBEN_LNC005776)". The record is from RNAcentral. Lineage: Eukaryota; Viridiplantae; Streptophyta; Magnoliopsida; Solanales; Solanaceae.
GUCAAUCUUCUUCGCAAUUGCAGAAAAACCCUCACGAUCACGAAGGAUCAAAAUUAGUUUUCCAAAUAUCCUCCUUCACGUUCGCAUCCACCAAUUCGUGUUUGGGAUUCCCCAAGAUACUGAUACUCUGCAUUCGCGAUCACUACGCCAUAUCCAUGAAGGCUUAAUAUCCCCAGGCCCCCAACUCACCAUCGUUCUAAGCAUUCAUGACUACUUUUCGCGUACGCGAAGGGAACCUCAGGUU